CGGACGGGUGAGUAAUGUCUGGGAAACUGCCCGAUGGAGGGGGAUAACUACUGGAAACGGUAGCUAAUACCGCAUAACGUCGCAAGACCAAGAGGGGACCUUCGGGCCUCUUGCCAUCGGAUGUGCCCAGAUGGGAUUAGCUAGUAGGUGGGGUAAUGGCUCACCUAGGCGACGAUCCCUAGCUGGUCUGAGAGGAUGACCAGCCACACUGGAACUGAGACACGGUCCAG
RNAcentral lists this ribosomal RNA (230 nucleotides) under uncultured bacterium. Its description in RNAcentral is "partial 16S ribosomal RNA". It matches the Rfam family "Bacterial small subunit ribosomal RNA", at positions 99 to 334 of the family's 1533-position model. The record is from RNAcentral.